This 408-nucleotide ribosomal RNA is filed under the name uncultured bacterium. RNAcentral's name for it is "bacterial SSU rRNA". It matches the Rfam family "Bacterial small subunit ribosomal RNA", at positions 1089 to 1503 of the family's 1533-position model. The record is from RNAcentral.
GCAACGAGCGCAACCCUUGUCUCUAGUUGCUACGAAAGGGCACUCUAGAGAGACUGCCGGUGACAAACCGGAGGAAGGUGGGGAUGACGUCAAGUCCUCAUGGCCCUUAUGGGUAGGGCUUCACACGUCAUACAAUGGUGCAUACAGAGGGUUGCCAAGCCGCGAGGUGGAGCUAAUCCCAGAAAAUGCAUCGUAGUCCGGAUCGUAGUCUGCAACUCGACUACGUGAAGCUGGAAUCGCUAGUAAUCGCGGAUCAGCAUGCCGCGGUGAAUACGUUCCCGGGUCUUGUACACACCGCCCGUCACACCAUGGGAGUGGGCUUUACCAGAAGUAGUUAGCCUAACCGCGAGGAGGGCGAUUACCACGGUAGGGUUCAUGACUGGGGUGAAGUCGUAACAAGGUAACCGU